Neoarius graeffei (lesser salmon catfish) is the source of this 73-nucleotide small nucleolar RNA. RefSeq annotates it as small nucleolar RNA SNORD58. The record is from RefSeq and is a predicted model, not a curated record. NCBI's taxonomy places the organism in Eukaryota, Metazoa, Chordata, Actinopteri, Siluriformes, Ariidae. The transcript has a single exon.
UUGCAGUGAUGACCAACUUAGGACACCUUUGGAAAUAACCAUGAAAACAACCCAAGCAAACAGUCUGAGCAAC